Molecule: ribosomal RNA, 410 nt
Filed under: uncultured Spirochaetaceae bacterium
Lineage: Bacteria; Pseudomonadati; Spirochaetota; Spirochaetia; Spirochaetales; Spirochaetaceae
Description: bacterial SSU rRNA
Rfam family: Bacterial small subunit ribosomal RNA
Source: RNAcentral
GUGCCAGCAGCCGCGGUAACACGUAGGGGGCAAGCGUUGUUCGGAAUUAUUGGGCGUAAAGGGCAUGUAGGCGGUUUUGUAAGCCUGGUGUGAAAUCCUACAGCUUAACUGUAGAAUUGCAUCGGGUACUGCAAGACUUGAAUCACAGAGGGGAAACUAGAAUUCCAGGUGUAGGGGUGGAAUCUGUAGAUAUCUGGAAGAAUACCGGUGGCGAAGGCGGGUUUCUAGCUGAUGAUUGACGCUGAGGUGCGAAAGUGCGGGGAGCAAACAGGAUUAGAUACCCUGGUAGUCCGCACAGUAAACGAUGUACACUAGGUGUCGGGGCAUGAGUCUCGGUGCCGAAGCUAACGUGAUAAGUGUACCGCCUGGGAAGUAUGCUCGCAAGGGUGAAACUCAAAUGAAUUGACGGG